GGUUGGGCAAAGUGGCCACUGAGUAAACUUUGUACUUUUUAAAUGGGAGAAAAGUUCCAUUUUAAUGAUGAAUAAACAGCAACAUCAUUCUUCGCUGAGGGAGACCUAAAUAUGAUCAAAAUACAAUAAUGAGGACAAAAAGCAUUAUACUUUUAAUAAUUAUUUUAAAACAUUUUAAGAUAAAAUUUAAACCUUUUUCAAUUUAUUUUCUGUGGCAGUCUAGCUCAGAUGAACUCUUGAAACCAAUAUCAUCCUUUUGCAGUAGUUUAGACAUUCACCAGCAGGUUCCUGAGGAAUAUAGAGUAAUAAUAUCCAAUGGCCACUUUACCCACUCUGGCCACUUUAUCCUACCUU
Molecule: long non-coding RNA, 354 nt
Filed under: Androctonus crassicauda
Lineage: Eukaryota; Metazoa; Arthropoda; Arachnida; Scorpiones; Buthidae
Source: RNAcentral